This is a non-coding RNA of Rathayibacter sp. Leaf296, 372 nucleotides long. It matches the Rfam family "transfer-messenger RNA". Rfam says of the family: Bacterial tmRNA, also known as 10Sa RNA or SsrA, is named for its dual tRNA and mRNA-like properties. The record is from Rfam. Lineage: Bacteria; Bacillati; Actinomycetota; Actinomycetes; Micrococcales; Microbacteriaceae.
GGGGAUGAUCGGUUUCGACAUUGCCUGCGAAACUGCGAGAAGCGGGUCGAGGAUUCAGGGUCAUCUCGUUAACGAUCUCUGAAAAACACAGGUGCCGAACAGAAGCGCACCGACUUCGCUCUCGCUGCCUAAGCAGAGUCGAUAGUCCGUCAGCCCGUGGGUGCGUCCUCGCCCCGGAUCCUGGCGUCAUCUAGAGGACUUGCUGCGUCGUUACGCCUGAGGGCGACGCGGGACUCGAACUCGGGCUGGGCCCGUCGACCGAUGCGUCAGUGGUAACGGUCGGGGCCGAGUAGAACGCUUUCACUGGCUACACCCGUAGAAGGCGCAGAAUCACAGCGAUGGACGGGGGUUCAAUUCCCCCCAUCUCCACCA